ACAAACUUGGUCAUUUAGAGGAAGUAAAAGUCGUAACAAGGUUUCCGUAGGUGAACCUGCGGAAGGAUCAUUAUCGAGUUAGGGUUCUUUAUGAGCCCAACCUCCUAACCUCUGUUUAACUACCUUGUUGCUUCGGUGGGCCGGCUCUCUCCUUUGGAGAGCCGCCGGAGGCGUCUAGUUCCCUCUGGAUAGUGCCCGCCAGUGGCCGAUUUAAAUUCAUUUGAACAAUGUUGUCUGAAUAUUGAAUGAAAUAUUAAAAACUUUCAACAACGGAUCUCUUGGUUCUGGCAUCGAUGAAGAACGCAGC
RNAcentral lists this unclassified non-coding RNA (307 nucleotides) under uncultured fungus. RNAcentral's name for it is "partial contains small subunit ribosomal RNA, internal transcribed spacer 1, and 5.8S ribosomal RNA". The stretch from base 1 to 73 matches the Rfam family "Eukaryotic small subunit ribosomal RNA", at positions 1759 to 1831 of the family's 1831-position model. The record is from RNAcentral. Lineage: Eukaryota; Fungi.